UAUGUUAAGAAAACCCUCGAC
This 21-nucleotide non-coding RNA is filed under the name Caenorhabditis elegans. Lineage: Eukaryota; Metazoa; Nematoda; Chromadorea; Rhabditida; Rhabditidae. The record is from RNAcentral.